UGGUGCAUGGUUGUCGUCAGCUCGUGUCGUGAGAUGUUGGGUUAAGUCCCGCAACGAGCGCAACCCUCGCCUCUAGUUGCCAGCAUUCGGUUGGGCACUCUAGAGGGACUGCCGGCGACAAGUCGGAGGAAGGUGGGGAUGACGUCAAAUCAUCAUGCCCCUUAUGACCUGGGCUACACACGUGCUACAAUGGGCGGUACAAAGGGCUGCGAACCCGCGAGGGGGAGCGAAUCCCAAAAAGCCGCUCUCAGUUCGGAUUGCAGGCUGCAACUCGCCUGCAUGAAGCCGGAAUCGCUAGUAAUCGCGGAUCAGCAUGCCGCGGUGAAUACGUUCCCGGGCCUU
RNAcentral lists this ribosomal RNA (342 nucleotides) under uncultured Geobacillus sp. RNAcentral's name for it is "bacterial SSU rRNA". It matches the Rfam family "Bacterial small subunit ribosomal RNA", at positions 1039 to 1382 of the family's 1533-position model. The record is from RNAcentral. Lineage: Bacteria; Bacillati; Bacillota; Bacilli; Caryophanales; Anoxybacillaceae.